Leptonychotes weddellii (Weddell seal) is the source of this 3059-nucleotide long non-coding RNA. RefSeq lists it as uncharacterized. NCBI's taxonomy places the organism in Eukaryota, Metazoa, Chordata, Mammalia, Carnivora, Phocidae. The record is from RefSeq and is a predicted model, not a curated record.
CGCAGCCUCCUCCCUGGAGCGGUGGUUUUCGGGGCCGCCGAGGAACCUGUCCCUGAGGCCGCGCUCAAGACGACGCGACCUGUUUUUUGACCCAGCGGGAAGUGCUGGCGCAGGUGGUCUCGAAUGCGUGUUCCUCUUUGCCUCUGAUGUCUGGAAGGGGAAUUCAGCAGCAAGGACUCCUGUCUGGAGCUCUGACCCCAACUUCCUCAAUCCAGGCUCUAGAGAGGCGCCCGUAGCUGAGCCCCGGGGUCCCGCGGGCCGCGCACUCUCUCUCCCUUUCCCUGCUCUGCACCCCAGCCCGCGCUCCGGCCAGGGCAGACGUCCCUCCGUGCCCGCGCCGGCGCUUGUCCCUGUCCCGACCUGGGCUGGCCAUCACCCUGCAUUGGGUCGGAUAGUCGCAAGUCUCUCCCCUCUGAGACCGCUUCUGUUUUAAGACUGCGCAUCGCGAGGCGUUCAGUAACUGUUAUGGAAUGAAUAACAUGAGCCCAUCUGACUAUGGGAACAGCCUCCUGAGACCUGUGGGAAUGUGGUGACAUCAGCCGUUACCCCACUGGCUGGUCAACUUUAUCUCGUGGGAUCCUCUGACAACCCUCGAGGAAAGAGAUGCUCCCUUACAGAGGAGGAGGCUGGGACUUCCGGCUCAAGUUACUGAUUCCCGAGGUCACCUGGCCUAGGACCUGGAGCAGGGAGGAAGAUGGCAGGACAGAGGCUGAUGGUGACCCCUCCAUGCCAGGCGCUCUCUGGUGGUCUCGUGUGACCUGCUGGCUGGGUGUCCUGUUCUACACACAGGGAAAUGGAAGUCCUCACACAAAACAACACCCGGGUGCCAGACAGAAAACCUUGGGAGAGCGGACAGCAGAUCUGUGAGCCACAGAGAGGUGAGCCCUUGGGAAGCACCACUGCCCUCGGAACGAUCUGGGCCAAGCCCCAUCUCCAUCCCCUUCCAUUUCAAGCAGCCUCAGCACGGAUGGCCUUUAUCCAUCCUGCACAGCAGUGCCGGCUACCUUCCACGAGCCCGUCCUCAGCGCACUUCGCUUAGUGGGAGAGACGCUGUUCUUUCAACAGAUCACGGCACAAAGGCGUGGAUGAGGACAGACUGGAAUGAACUCGAAGAACGAGGGCCUUGGUGCUGCAGCUACAUAGAGCCCGCGUCAGCUCUGCUCCGCGAUCGGUCUCCUUUCUGGCCUUAGGUUUUGCACAACUGUCCGCUGGCUUCGGAAGGGGGGCGGCAUUUCAGGUGGGGCACCUCACAGCACCCAGAUGUCCACAUUUGGAGGUGACACAGGUGACCCAGGUGCAUUCUCAGGAAAAAGUGUGCUGCUGCCGCACCCACAUCAAAAGCGUGUGGUCCGAGUGUGGGAGUCCAGGGCGGUGGGAGCACGAUUCCUGGCACAGACAUGGACUUCCUGAUACGCAGCCUCCCUUUACUUCGGGUUCCCCAUCUCUAAAGCAGGGCAAGAUCUAACUUUCCUGGUUCCACAAAACCUUGUGGGCAAACCACUUCACUGGGAGGACCCAGGGUGCCAGGGACCAGCCCCUCCAGCGUGCUCCCCAAGGUCUUCGGAGAAUCCACUGGACACGGUCUCCACUGUGUUUCUUAGAGGAAGCGAGGCCAUUAGAAAAAGUGCUCCCCGGUUUCGAGGUUAAGCUUCACCGUGGCUCUCAUAGCUCCCGUCUGGCCUCGGCACUGCCUCCCAAGGGCUCUUCCCAACCCACAGUCAGAUUCUGCCUCUCUCCAGCUUCACUCCCACUAAGCACUUAUGGGGGAGAAACACCCGGCUGGCCCACCAUCCUCGACCUUCUGAAGUGAACAUGCUGGCAGCCCAGAUUAGUUUCAAGAUCCCCAGCAAGGCUGGUCCCUUUUCACGUCCCAGGGCCUCUGCAAAUGCUGCUCCCUCUCUGUACAUUCUUCCCUUCUGAUCAGCUCAGUAAACUCCUCUUCAUCCUUCAGAACCCAGCUCCUUUCAUCCCCUCUGGGAAGUCUUCCCUGGGCCCCUGUAUUCCCUCUCCUCAGGCUCAGCAUCAGGGGGCAUGGGAGGCCCUGAGGACUGCCCUCCACCCCUACCCCCAGGCCAGGCUGGCUGGAGUGCUUCUGGGAAGCAGGAGCCAAUCUGCCUCUUCCCAUUUUGCAUCCAGACUCCUUCCCCCACAAGGAGGUCAGGAACCUCCCAGGGCCAGGCAGGCCAGAAGCAGGGAGGGAUGGCUGGAGAUAGGUGGAGGGAGAUGGUCUUCCAGAUGUAAAGAGAUUGGAGCUGGGUGAGGGGGACACCUGGGAAUGAGAUUACGGGCUCCUGGUUGUAUGUGUGAUCACCUCCUGCUGGUGCGUGGGUAGCCCAGGGAUGGCUCUUGGGAGAGGCCCCUCUCUGUCAUUUUCAGCACACAUCCAGUGGGUGCCCGAGCAGCAAGCUCAGGAGGGGCCGAGGGCACCCUGGUGCCCAGGAUCCUUCUGCCCGAGCUGAGCUGCUGCCCUCAGGAGGAAGAGGCGGCCGUGAGAAAGGCAGGCCCAACUGCCCAGGAGAUAAAACCUGGGAGGGGAGGUGCCAGCAGCCCGUCCUCUUUCCGCCCCAGGCUGGCCACGGGUGAUGUUCAGAUAGCUCCCUGGGUCUGGCUUUUCCUGUUCCUAGAACUGCUGCACAUGGUAAUUUCUCUGGGCUAAGUCAGAAGUGGCCGUUGGGGAGCGUCCUCUGUGUGUGUGUGUGUGUGUGUGUGUGUGUGUAGUAUCUCAGUUUAUAGCAACAGGAAAUUUGGGAUUUGAAUCAGCACCACGUCCCACGCGGUCUUAUUUCCUAGAAAGGACAGAGCUGAUAGCCUGGAGCUGGACCCCUGGAGGAAGGGGCUUCUGGGUCUCACCUGGCUUUGGCCCAUGGCAGCGUCUGAUCCCUGGGUGUCUUUUCUUCUCUGCUAGAAGGAGGCCCAAAGCCCUUGGCUGCCAGCCUGGGAGGGGCUGCAGUGGGUAGCGGGCUCAGCUCGGGGAGGUUCUGGAUUCUGCAUCUUACUGGGUCUUUAAGUUCUGGUGUCCUCUGUCCUGGGCCCCGAGUGAGGGGAAGGGUAACUCUGAA